This 253-nucleotide ribosomal RNA is filed under the name uncultured bacterium. RNAcentral describes it as "partial 16S ribosomal RNA". It matches the Rfam family "Bacterial small subunit ribosomal RNA", at positions 524 to 776 of the family's 1533-position model. The record is from RNAcentral.
GACGUAGGGCGCGAGCGUUGUCCGGAAUUACUGGGCGUAAAGGGCUCGUAGGUGGCCAACUAAGUCGGACGUGAAAUCCCUCGGCUUAACCGGGGAACUGCGUCUGAUACUGGAUGGCUUGAGUUCGGGAGAGGGAUGCGGAAUUCCAGGUGUAGCGGUGAAAUGCGUAGAUAUCUGGAGGAACACCGGUGGCGAAGGCGGCAUCCUGGACCGACACUGACGCUGAGGAGCGAAAGCCAGGGGAGCAAACGGG